Molecule: ribosomal RNA, 413 nt
Filed under: uncultured bacterium
Lineage: Bacteria
Description: bacterial SSU rRNA
Rfam family: Bacterial small subunit ribosomal RNA
Source: RNAcentral
AAUGAACGCUGGCGGCGCGCCUAAUACAUGCAAGUCGAGCGAGAAGACGUAGCAAUACGUUUGUAAAGCGGCGAACGGGUGAGGAAUACAUGGGUAACCUACCCUCGAGUGGGGAAUAACUAGCCGAAAGGUUAGCUAAUACCGCGUACGCUCCUUGGACUUCGGUUCAGGGAGGAAAGCGAUACCGUGGGUAUCGCGCUCUUGGAUGGGCUCAUGUCCUAUCAGCUUGUUGGGAGGUAACGGCUCACCAAGGCUUCGACGGGUAGCUGGUCUGAGAGGACGAUCAGCCACACUGGCACUGCGACACGGGCCAGACUCCUACGGGAGGCAGCAGUAAGGAAUAUUGCGCAAUGGGCGAAAGCCUGACGCAGCGACGCCGCGUGGGGGAUGAAGGUCUUCGGAUUGUAAACCCC